RNAcentral lists this ribosomal RNA (445 nucleotides) under uncultured bacterium. RNAcentral describes it as "bacterial SSU rRNA". It matches the Rfam family "Bacterial small subunit ribosomal RNA", at positions 354 to 796 of the family's 1533-position model. The record is from RNAcentral.
GUGAGGAAUAUUGCGCAAUGGAGGCAACUCUGACGCAGCCAUGCCGCGUGCAGGAAGAAGGCGCUACGCGUUGUAAACUGCUUUUAACCGGGAAGAAACCCCAGGACGUGUCCUGGGUUGACGGUACCGGAGGAAUAAGCACCGGCUAACUUCGUGCCAGCAGCCGCGGUAAUACGAAGGGUGCAAGCGUUAUCCGGAUUCAUUGGGUUUAAAGGGUGCGUAGGCGGAGCGUUAAGUCAGUGGUGAAAUCCUGCAGCUUAACUGUAGACUUGCCAUUGAUACUGGCGCUCUUGAGUGCGCUUGAAGUGGGCGGAAUGUGCCGUGUAGCGGUGAAAUGCUUAGAUAUGGCACAGAACACCAAUUGCGAAGGCAGCUCACUAAGGCGAUACUGACGCUGAGGCACGAAAGCGUGGGGAUCGAACAGGAUUAGAAACCCGUGUAGUCC